GAUGAACGCUGGCGGCGUGCAUAACACAUUCAAGUCGAACGGACUUAAUUGCUUCGGUGAUUAAGUUAGUGGCGGACGGGUGAGUAACGCGUGAGUAACCUGCCUGUAUGAGUGGAAUAACACAGGGAAACUUGUGCUAAUACCGCAUAAUAUGUGAGAUUCGCAUGUAUUUCACAUCAAAGAGCAAUCGCAUACAGAUGGACUCGCGUCUGAUUAGCUAGUUGGUAAGGUAACGGCUUACCAAGGCGACGAUCAGUAGCCGAACUGAGAGGUUGAACGGCCACAUUGGAACUGAGAAACGGUCCAG
RNAcentral lists this ribosomal RNA (307 nucleotides) under uncultured bacterium. RNAcentral's name for it is "bacterial SSU rRNA". It matches the Rfam family "Bacterial small subunit ribosomal RNA", at positions 28 to 334 of the family's 1533-position model. The record is from RNAcentral.